RNAcentral lists this ribosomal RNA (457 nucleotides) under uncultured bacterium. RNAcentral's name for it is "bacterial SSU rRNA". It matches the Rfam family "Bacterial small subunit ribosomal RNA", at positions 28 to 507 of the family's 1533-position model. The record is from RNAcentral.
GAUGAACGCUAGCGGCAGGCCUAAUACAUGCAAGUCAAGGGGCCCAGCAAUGGGCACCGGCGCACGGGUGCGUAACGCGUGGGAACCUGCCUUUAGGUUCGGAAUAACAGUGAGAAAUUACUGCUAAUACCGGAUGAUGUCUUCGGACCAAAGAUUUAUCGCCUUUAGAUGGGCCCGCGUUGGAUUAGCUAGUUGGUGGGGUAAAGGCCUACCAAGGCGACGAUCCAUAGCUGGUCUGAGAGGAUGAUCAGCCACACUGGGACUGAGACACGACCCAGACUCCUACGGGAGGCAGCAGUGGGGAAUUUUGGACAAUGGGGGCAACCCUGAUCCAGCAAUGCCGCGUGAGUGAAGAAGGCCUUCGGGUUGUAAAGCUCUUUUGUCAGGGAAGAAACAGCAGCUCUAACACAGUCUGCGAAUGACGGUACCUGAAGAAUAAGCACCGGCUAACUACGUG